UUACGGUCAAAUCACGCUGAAACACCGGUUCUCGUUCGAUCACCGAAGUUAAGCAUCGUAGAGCCAGGUCAGUACUUAGAUGGGGGACCGCUUGGGAACACUUGGUACUGUAAG
Molecule: ribosomal RNA, 114 nt
Filed under: Acanthosepion pharaonis
Lineage: Eukaryota; Metazoa; Mollusca; Cephalopoda; Sepiida; Sepiidae
Source: RNAcentral